GCGGACAUGGUGGAAUUGGUAGACACGCUAGCUUGAGGUGCUAGUGGGCGAAAGCUUGUGCUGGUUCAAGUCCAGUUGUCCGCA
This 84-nucleotide transfer RNA is filed under the name Spirochaetaceae bacterium. RNAcentral's name for it is "tRNA-Leu". It matches the Rfam family "tRNA". From Rfam's summary of the family: Transfer RNA (tRNA) molecules are approximately 80 nucleotides in length. Their secondary structure includes four short double-helical elements and three loops (D, anti-codon, and T loops). The record is from RNAcentral. Lineage: Bacteria; Pseudomonadati; Spirochaetota; Spirochaetia; Spirochaetales; Spirochaetaceae.